Molecule: long non-coding RNA, 1092 nt
Organism: Apteryx rowi (Okarito brown kiwi)
Lineage: Eukaryota; Metazoa; Chordata; Aves; Apterygiformes; Apterygidae
Source: Ensembl
AGACUUGGUUUCAUGUGCUUCAAGAAGAUCUUCCCUUCUUCCCAGAUUUUUUUUUCUUUAUUUUCCCAGAUUUGCAAAAUCUGAGGCAGGUUUUAUUGCAGAAGACCUAUGCUUUUUUGGGAAGCUCAUUUUAAACCUUCAUUCAAUUGGCUCAGCUGAAGUGAGAUCUUGAAUGAUUUUAGACAUUUGGGAAUGGAAGACAAGGUGAUGUGGAGACUAGAGCAUAGCUGCCUCAUUACUCUUGGUCUAGCCCAAGGUGAGAAACCAAAGAAGGAGGCUCAGGGAGAUCUGGAAAUACCAGGCCACUUUCCAUCAGUGCAGUGGAAUGAAAGAAAGUGCUACUGCCCAAUGUGUCAGAAACUACACCGAUUUUCAAUUAUGUUUUGCUCUUUUCCUUUUGCUCUUACUCAUCCUAAAUAAAUUUAUGACUUGUCCUGAGGCUUUUAUCAAUCAGGUGUGACAUUGUAAUCAGUGAAUGUCAAAUGGCAACUGAGGGCACUCAGCACCUUACAGGAUUGGGUCCAUAGCGAAAGCUGAUGUUUGAAGUAGACAUUGUAUAAUAGUUUUAAAGAUCUGCUAGAUUUCAAUAAGAAGUCUUUAGCUGAUGGCAAAGCAUGGCCACAUGGCAGUUUUAAGGAUGUAUUCUGAUUUCAUAGGAUGACUGCACUGGGUAAAUAAUCUACUAUAAGAUGUAUUUCCUGACUUAAGAUAAUACUUUACUUUCAGUGCUUUACUCACUCAUAGUUUGGAAAGUACUGCGAGCACGUAUAUAUUGGAUCCAGAAAACAAGCCUGCAAUUUUCGGUGUAUAUCUCACUUUUACUCUCACAUGAUAGCUUAACUUGUUACUACUUGAUUAUAAUUAGGUACUUGAUUUUCAUCAACAAUAAUUUCUGAGUGAAGUACUUCAUGUGUUUUUUAAAGCAGAUUUGCUUAAUACUGUUUCACUCUAGCCGAGAACAUCAACUUCUGUGCCUCAUUUUACUCAUCUGUAGUACGAGUAACUUGCCUACCUACCAAAUAGGUGUCCAGAGUCCAAAAAUACCUGUGUAGCAUUUUAAGCUCCAAUUGAUUUUAGCAAUAAACUACUGUG